GGAGUGAAGUAUAGGCCUCAAAAUGCUCACAAAUAUCAUCAACCCCAUCAGAACUGGAGGUCAAAUCAUGUGCAAAUGAAGCAGAACUGAUCCGGUUUAAAGCUUUAAAGGUUUCAGGGUGCUGAUACUGGACUGAUCCGGUUUAAAGCUUUAAAGGUUUAAAAGUUUCAGGGUGCCGAUACUGGACUGAUCCGGUUUAAAGCUUUAAAAGUUUCAGGGUGCUGAUACUGGACUGAUCCGGUUUAAAGCUUUAAAGGUUUAAAAGUUUCAGGGCGCUGAUACUGGACUGAUCCGGUUUAAAGCUUUAAAGGUUUCAGGGUGCCGAUACAGGACUGAUCCGGUUUAAAGCUUUAAAGGUUCAAAAGUUUCAGGGUGCUGAUACUGGACUGAUCCGGUUUAAAGCUUUAAAGGUUUCAGGGUGCCGAUACUGGACUGAUCCGGUUUAAAGCUUUAAAGGUUUCAGGGUGCUGAUACUGGACUGAUCCGGUUUAAAGCUUUAAAGGUUUCAGGGUGCUGAUACUGGACUGAUCCGGUUUAAAGCUUUAAAGGUUUCAGGGUGCCGAUACUGGACUGAUCCGGUUUAAAGCUUUAAAGGUUCAAAAGUUUCAGGGUGCUGAUACUGGACUGAUCCGGUUUAAAGCUUUAAAGGUUUCAGGGUGCUGAUACUGGACUGAUCCGGUUUAAAGCUUUAAAGGUUUCAGGGUUCUGAUACUGGACUGAUCCGGUUUAAAGCUUUAAAGGUUUCAGGGUGCCGAUACUGGACUGAUCCGGUUUAAAGCUUUAAAGGUUUCAGGGUGCCGAUACUG
Long non-coding RNA from Centropristis striata (black sea bass), 806 nucleotides. RefSeq lists it as uncharacterized. The transcript is spliced from 3 exons. The record is from RefSeq and is a predicted model, not a curated record. NCBI's taxonomy places the organism in Eukaryota, Metazoa, Chordata, Actinopteri, Perciformes, Serranidae.